This is a long non-coding RNA of Eriocheir sinensis (Chinese mitten crab), 628 nucleotides long. RefSeq lists it as uncharacterized. Lineage: Eukaryota; Metazoa; Arthropoda; Malacostraca; Decapoda; Varunidae. The record is from RefSeq and is a predicted model, not a curated record. The transcript is spliced from 2 exons.
GGGGCGGGCGGGGCUUGAUGGAGCGGGGUGAGUGAGGGAGGGGCGUAGGUGAGGGGAGAGAGAUUGAGGUGUGAGGGAGAUUGAGGUGUGAGGGAAAUGGAGGUGUGAGGGAGAUUGAGGUGUGAGGGAGAUGGAGGUGUGAGGAACAGGGAGAUAGGUGCAUAGGGAUGAUUGAGAGAGAGCAGGACUAGGAGGAGAGGAGGAAUGAACGGAACUGAGUGGAAACAGACCCACAUAUUGAGACGAAAGAAGCGACGGUACGCGAUGUAAUACUAGCGGAUGGAGGGAAGGCAAGACAGAGGAUGGAGAGGGGGUCUAGGAGCUACGUACUGGCUAAGGAAGAGAUCAAAGAAGGAGCGAGAAAAGAAGAAAUAAAUAGAGGAUGGUGGUGGUGGUGUUGAUGGUGAUGGUGGAUGUGACGAAAGAAGAAGAAGAGGAGGAGCAGGAGCCGGAGGAGGAGGAGGAAAGAGACGGAGAUAAGAAGAAAUGAAGGAGACACAUUCUGCGGAGAAAGUUAAAAGACAAAAGAAAGAAAGGAAAGAGGAAAGAAAAUUAGACCAUUAAAGGAGAAGGCGGUUGUUCUGAGGUGGAGGAAGAAGAGGAGGAGGAGGAGGAGGAGGAGGAGGAG